UUUCCGGUUUUGGUUCACGUUCGGUUACAGAGUCCGUGUUAGCAUCGGAGCUAGCGUCGAUAAGGGGCGUUAAAGAGGGACAGCGGCCGCUUUGAGGGGAGUUCGUCCCCGGUAUCAGAACCAGAACACGGGUGGGAAAGCCGGUACUGUCGCCGAGGACCCGGAUACGGUUGUCAGACCUGUGGCGUGUGAGAGAGGAGCACCAACCGGAGUUCAAACUGAAUGGCUGAGGGUAGCUCAGACCCACCUGACCUCAAUCCAGAUGAGGCGUCACGUCAAAAAUCAUAUCAGCACAGAUCGCGAAGAGGCCGGCCGAGACACAACAACGACAGAAACCUGAACAGUAAUAGUUAUGAUCCUUCUCAACCAUAUGGACAGUUUCAGCAGGGCUUCAAACCCUUGUUUAGCCAAGAUAAUUCAAAUUAUGCGUCGCAUCAGCAUCCUCCAUACCAUGAAGACGAUGGAGCCAGAAGGCGAGGCAGAGGCAGAGGGAGGAGAGAAGGGAAUAGAGGUGUAAAUGGGAAUUAUGGGGGCUCCAGCUCGUGGUGGCAAAGAGGUGGAGGUGACUCUGGUUCGUAUAGUGGUAACAAUAGAGGUGCGGGUGCCUUUCACUCAGGGCUGCAUCCCAUGGAUGGACCUGAUGGACCCAACUGGCGAAGGGAAGAUGUGAGCAGGAAUUUGGAACAAACCAAUGAAGACCUGGCUAAAAAACCCAGGAAGUUCAGCCAGGAGCAGCGAAGAGGACAACAAAACGAAAAGGGUGCGGGUCAAAGAUCGUAUGACAACAAAGGUGAAAACCCCCCUUCAGACAUCAGGGAAAGGACUCUGAGGAGCAGGACAGGUCCAGACUUUCAACACGAUCACCACCAGAGGAAGUACACUGAGCCAAAGCGACGACAAGGGCCGAUCAAACCGCCAACUCAAGGCGAAGCAGGCCCAGAGAUGGUGGCCGGCGUCCAACAAGACGACUCCUCUGGCCACGGCAGGUCAUCUCAGGAUCCUGCCAGUAAAGCUGGACGAGGCUCAGGACGACACACACCACUGCAGGCAGCCAGAGGAGGGAGGAGGACACAUCAUCAAAACCACAGACCGGGCCAGAGGAGCUGGGACAAGAUGCCAGAGAGCAAAGAGACGCAGACAGGGUGUCUGAUUGAACAGCUGUCCGGGGAGAAGUACGAGUGCAUGGUUUGCUGUGACGUCAUCCGGCUCAUGGCCCCGGUGUGGAGCUGCCAGAGCUGCUUCCACGUCUUCCACCUGAACUGCAUCAAGAAAUGGGCGCGAUCACCGGCCUCGCAGGCGGACGGUACAGACUCAGCCGAAGGUUGGCGUUGUCCGGCCUGCCAGAACGUUGCACUGAAACAGCCGACCUCCUACACCUGCUUCUGUGGUAAAGUGACAAAUCCAGAGUGGCAGCGCAGCGAGAUUCCCCACAGCUGUGGCGACAUGUGUGGGAAGAAACGGAGCGGCCUGGACUGCAACCACCCCUGUAACAUCUUGUGUCAUCCUGGACCUUGUCCACAAUGUCCUGCCUUCAUAACAAAAUCCUGCAUCUGUGGAAAGACGAGUCAGCCAGUGCGCUGUGGCCAGGGUACGGUGCUGCAGUGUGACAAGGUGUGUGGCGCCUUACUCAACUGUGGCGAACACGCCUGUGCCCAGGUGUGCCACAGCGGGGCGUGUCAACCGUGCCAGCUACAAGUUCAGCAGAUGUGCUACUGCGGCGUCACCACCCGCGAAGUCCCGUGUGGCACCGAUAAAGACAGAUCUGACAGUUCAGGACAUUUCUCCUGUCAGAAAAUAUGCGCGAUGAUGUUAAACUGUGAAGCUCACCGGUGCCAGCAGGUGUGCCACCCGGGUCGGUGCCAACCGUGCCCUCGCUCCCCGAGCCUGGUGAAGACGUGUCCCUGCAGCCAGACGCCGCUGACCAAACUCCUGGAACUGGGCUACUCUGAACGACGAAGCUGCUCUGAUCCCGUCCCAUCCUGUGGAAAGACGUGCAACAAACCUCUGGCCUGUGGCUCCAGCGACACCAUCCAUCUGUGUGAGAAGCUGUGCCACGAGGGCAGCUGUGGGCCAUGCUCCCUGACCUCGACUAUCAGAUGCAGAUGUGGCUCCAAGACUAAGGAGGUCGCGUGUGCAACGAUCCAAAAAGAGGAGGAGCUCGUCUUCACUUGUGAGAAGCGAUGCAACAAGAAACGCUCCUGCGGCCGACACAAGUGUGGCGAGCUGUGUUGUGUGAACGUGGAGCACAAGUGCCUCCUGAUCUGCGGCUACAAGCUCAACUGUGGCCUCCACCGCUGCCAGGAGACUUGUCACCGUGGAAACUGUGAGCCCUGCUGGCAGUCCAGUUUCGACGAGCUGACGUGUCACUGCGGCCUCACCGUCUUGUACCCGCCCAUCGCCUGUGGCACGAAGCCACCAGAGUGCAAGAACAUGUGCACGCGAAGACACGAGUGUGACCACCCAGUGUUUCACAACUGCCACAGUGAAGAGAAGUGUCCGCCGUGCACGUACCUCACUCAGAAAUGGUGCAUGGGAAAGCACGAGCAACGCAGCAACAUCCCGUGUCAUCUGCAAGACAUUUCCUGCGGCCUGACGUGUAAUAAAACGCUGCCGUGCGAAAUUCACCGCUGCAAGCGGAUCUGCCACCGAGGCGAGUGUCUGGCAGAAGGCAGCUGCCAGCAGCCCUGCGUGCUGCCUCGUCCAGACUGCGGCCACCCGUGCUCCGCUCCCUGUCAUAAAGGCAGCAGCUGCCCACGCACCACCUGCACAGCCAAGGUGGCUGUACAGUGUGAUUGUGGUCGAAGAAAGGAAACAGUGAUGUGCACAGAGGCCACCAGUUCAUACCAGAGGUAUGCCGCCAUCGCCAUGGCCAGUAAACUGUCUGACAUGCAGCUCGGCGACUCGAUGGACAUCGGGCCGCUCCUCACUAAGAAGGAGAUGAAACAGACCAGGCUUGAAUGCGACCAAGAGUGCGCCACGUUGGAGAGAAACAGGCGUUUAGCCGAGGCGCUGCAGAUCGACUCGUCGUCCGACCCCUUCAACGUCCGAUCUACCUCUGUGUACAGCGACAGCCUCAAAGAGGACGCCAGAAAAGACUUGAAGUUUGUCACCGAGGUUGAAGAAGAGAUCAAGAAUCUCGUUGAGCUUGCUAAUAAGGGAAAACAGCCAAAGAGGAGCCACUGUUUCCCACCCAUGAACCGAGAACACCGGAAGAUCAUCCACGACCUGGCCGAGGUAUACGGCGUGGAGAGCGUGAGCUACGACAGCGAGCCCAAACGCAACGUGGUCAUCACUGCCCAGAGGGGGAAGUCCGUCUGUCCGAACUCGAUGCUGACAUCGCUGAUAGAGCGAGAGACGGCUGCGAGGGCCCCUCCACCCAUCGCUCAUAUCAAACAGCACAGCAGCAACAGUUAGAAGCCGAGCUGCUGCGUUCUGGACUAGUUGGGAGGCGUGAGAGAGAGAUUUAUCGUUGAUGCCGGAGAGGAGUGAGGUGCAAUAGUAAGAGCCGCCACUGGAAGCACCUGGUCAAAGAUGGUUAAAGAAGAACCUGUCAUCGAUUAUUUUGAUGUCCAGGACUAAAAAGACCUCAGGAUCUACUCAUACGAAUUUAGUCUACAUCUGCCAAAAAGCUUGAAUAACCUUUUUUCCAUUUGUGUUCAUCAAAGAUCAAUAAGAAUACCUCCGGCUUCAUGAUAAAAUAAAAUAAUCUUUGGAAAUAUC
Larimichthys crocea (large yellow croaker) is the source of this 3720-nucleotide RNA transcript. It is a transcript of the gene named nuclear transcription factor, X-box binding 1, with no coding region annotated. The record is from RefSeq and is a predicted model, not a curated record. The annotation marks the transcript as partial. The transcript is spliced from 24 exons. Lineage: Eukaryota; Metazoa; Chordata; Actinopteri; Sciaenidae.